GUUCCUACGGGGGGCAGCAGUGAGGAAUAUUGGUCAAUGGUCGGGAGACUGAACCAGCCAAGCCGCGUGAGGGAUGAAGGUACAGAGUAUCGUAAACCUCUUUUGUCAGGGAACAAAGGCGGGGACGUGUCCCCGGAUGAGUGUACCUGAAGAAAAAGCAUCGGCUAACUCCGUGCCAGCAGCCGCGGUAAUACGGAGGAUGCGAGCGUUAUCCGGAUUUAUUGGGUUUAAAGGGGGCACAGGCGGCGGGUUAAGGUAGCGGUAAAAUUUCGGGGAUCAACCCCGACGAGCCG
This 293-nucleotide ribosomal RNA is filed under the name uncultured bacterium. RNAcentral's name for it is "partial 16S ribosomal RNA". It matches the Rfam family "Bacterial small subunit ribosomal RNA", at positions 335 to 626 of the family's 1533-position model. The record is from RNAcentral.